Molecule: ribosomal RNA, 468 nt
Filed under: uncultured bacterium
Lineage: Bacteria
Description: partial 16S ribosomal RNA
Rfam family: Bacterial small subunit ribosomal RNA
Source: RNAcentral
GACGAACGCUGGCGGCGUGCUUAACACAUGCAAGUCGAACGGAAAGGCCCUGCUUUUGUGGGGGGCUCGAGUGGCGAACGGGUGAGUAACACGGGAGUAACCUGCCCUGGACUUUGGGAUAACUUCAGGAAACUGGGGCUAAUACCGGAUAGGAGCUCCUGCUGCAUGGUGGGGGUUGGAAAGUUUCGGCGGUUGGGGAUGGACUCGCGGCUUAUCAGCUUGUUGGUGGGGUGGUGGCUUACCAAGGCAUUGACGGGUAGCCGGCCUGAGAGGGUGACCGGCCACAUUGGGACUGAGAUACGGCCCAGACUCCUACGGGAGGCAGAAGUGGGGAAUAUUGCACAAUGGGCGGAAGCCUGAUGCAGCAACGCCGCGUGCGGGAUGACGGCCUUCGGGUUGUAAACCGCUUUCGCCUGUGACGAAGCGUGAGUGACGGUAAUGGGUAAAGAAGCACCGGCUAACUACGUG